This 899-nucleotide small RNA is filed under the name Pongo abelii (Sumatran orangutan). Its description in RNAcentral is "retained intron". Lineage: Eukaryota; Metazoa; Chordata; Mammalia; Primates; Hominidae. The record is from RNAcentral.
GGCCCCCUCCUCGGCGUGCUGCCUGUGGUCGGAGUGGUCCGCCCUGCCCCGCCCCCGCCACCCCCUCCCCUGACGCUGGUGCUAAGCAGUGGGCCAGCCAGCCCGCCCCGCCAGGCCAUCCGCGUCAAGAGGGUGUCCACUUUCUCUGGCCGGUCCCCGCCAGCACCUCCCCCAUACAAAGCCCCCCGGCUCGAUGAAGAUGGAGAGGCCUCAGAGGAUACCCUCCAGGUUCCGGGGCUUGGCAGUGGCGGGUGAGUGCGGGUGCUGAGGCUGGCAGAGCAGGCAAGGGGGCGGAUGGGCGGGAGAUGCGGCUCAUCCUUCUCGGGCUCGCCCUCCCAGGUUUAGCCGUGUGAGGAUGAAAACCCCCACGGUGCGUGGGGUCCUUGACCUGGAUCGGACUGGGGAGCCUGCUGGGGAAGAAAGUCCUGGGUGAGUGGCCAGGCCCCUCUCCCUGGAGGGUCUGGGACCUCUGUCCUUCCCCUUCCUGACAGGUCUCUUCUCGCAGGCCUCUCCAGGAACAGUCCCCUUUGCUGCCACUUCUGGAAGGUGGUCCUUCCCAGGUCCCCGAUGGUCCCCCAGACUUGCUACUUGAGUCCCAGUGGCACCACUAUUCAGGUGAGGCUUCGAGCUCUGAGGAAGAGCCUCCAUCCCCAGAUGAUAAAGAGAACCAGGCCCCAAAACGGACUGGCCCACAUCUGCGCUUCGAGAUCAGCAGUGAGGAUGGGUUCAGCGUGGAGGCAGAGAGCUUGGAGGGGGCGUGGAGAACUCUGAUCGAGAAAGUGCAAGAGGCCCGAGGGCAUGCCCGACUCAGACAUCUCUCCUUUAGUGGAAUGAGUGGGGCGAGACUCCUGGGCAUCCACCACGAUGCUGUCAUCUUCCUGGCCGAGCAGCUCCCCGGA